CGAACGGGUGAGGAACGCGUGGACAACCUACCCCGGCGUGGGGGAUACCCGCCAGAAAUGGUGGCUAAUACCGCGUACGGUUGCCGGACGGAGGGUUCGGCAAAGAAAGCAGCGAUGCGCGCUGGGAGGGGUCUGCGGCCGAUUAGCUAGUUGGCGGGGUAGUGGCCCACCAAGGCGAUGAUCGGUAGCUGGUCUGAGAGGAUGGUCAGCCACACGGGGACUGAGACACGGCCCCG
This 236-nucleotide ribosomal RNA is filed under the name uncultured bacterium. RNAcentral describes it as "partial 16S ribosomal RNA". It matches the Rfam family "Bacterial small subunit ribosomal RNA", at positions 99 to 334 of the family's 1533-position model. The record is from RNAcentral.